Molecule: ribosomal RNA, 467 nt
Filed under: uncultured bacterium
Lineage: Bacteria
Description: partial 16S ribosomal RNA
Rfam family: Bacterial small subunit ribosomal RNA
Source: RNAcentral
GACGAACGCUGGCGGCGUGCUUAACACAUGCAAGUCGAACGGAAAGGCCCUGCUUUUGUGGGGUGCUCGAGUGGGGAACGGGUGAGUAACACGUGAGUAACCUGCCCUUGACUUUGGGAUAACUUCAGGAAACUGGGGCUAAUACCGGAUAGGAGCUCCUGCUGCAUGGUGGGGGUUGGAAAGUUUCGGCGGUUGGGGAUGGACUCGCGGCUUAUCAGCUUGUUGGUGGGGUAGUGGCUUACCAAGGCUUUGACGGGUAGCCGGCCUGAGAGGGUGACCGGCCACAUUGGGACUGAGAUACGGCCCAGACGCCUACGGGAGGCAGCAGUGGGGAAUAUUGCACAAUGGGCGGAAGCCUGAUGCAGCAACGCCGCGUGCGGGAUGACGGCCUUCGGGUUGUAAACCGCUUUCGCCUGUGACGAAGCGUGAGUGACGGUAAUGGGUAAAGAAGCACCGGCUAACUACGU